AUGCCUGAACCCUAGAGCCACCCUCACUCCGCCGCCCGCCGCCAUCCGUCGUCGGUCGAAUAUAGCCCACUGCGGAGGCGGAAUUUCAAUUGCCGUCAAAUUUACACUAUUGAUUCCCCUCCCUUCCCUCUACCCAAAUACACCCUCAUCACCCCUCAAAUCCUACCAAAACCUCUCGAAUAUAACUUUGAAACACUGACUCCGCCGCUGUGUCCGGCGGCGCCACCACACAACCACUCCCAAAUUCACACCCUUGAACCCAUGUCUCUCCAUCAUCCCAAAUCUGCACUCAUUAUCCUUUAAACCCCCAUGAUUACUCUCGAAUAUUGAUUCAAAAAGGGACUGCCAAAACUCACCACCACUAACCAACCCCAAACAAACACCCUAUAACCUUCUUAAACCCCCCCCCCCAAUCCGUACUCAACCGCACUCAAACAUAUCUACAUCUGCUCAAAACCCAAAUCUAGGGUUUUCCAGAAGUUUUCCAAUA
Molecule: long non-coding RNA, 490 nt
Filed under: Nicotiana benthamiana
Lineage: Eukaryota; Viridiplantae; Streptophyta; Magnoliopsida; Solanales; Solanaceae
Description: long non-coding RNA (NBEN_LNC033410)
Source: RNAcentral